Molecule: ribosomal RNA, 332 nt
Filed under: uncultured eukaryote
Lineage: Eukaryota
Description: partial 18S ribosomal RNA
Rfam family: Eukaryotic small subunit ribosomal RNA
Source: RNAcentral
CCCUUAGAUGUUCUGGGCUGCACACGUGCUACACUGGCAGGUUCAGCGAGCUUCAUGCCCUGAUCUGAAAGGAAUGGGAAAUCUUUUCAAAACCUGCCGUGCUUGGGAUAGAUGUCUGCAAUUAUUCAUCUUCAACGAGGAUUGCCUUGUAAGCGCACGUCAUCAGCGUGCAUUGAAUACGACCCUGUAUUCUGUACACACCGCCCGUCGCUCCUACCGAUUGAAGUUUUCGGUGAGUUGACAGGAGGAUUUUUUUGAAACUGGUUCGCCAGUGGAUUUUAGAUCCAAAUGCCAACGAAUCGAUGGCUUUAGAGGAAGGAGAAGUCGUAACA